UACGGGGGGGGCAAGCGUUGUUCGGAAUUACUGGGCGUAAAGGGCUCGUAGGUGGCCCCAUAAGUCAGACGUGAAAUCCCUCGGCUCAACCGAGGAACUGCGUCUGAGACUGCGGGGCUUGAAUCCGGGAGAGGGAUGCGGAAUUCCAGGUGUAGCGGUGAAAUGCGUAGAUAUCGGGAGGAACACCAGUGGCGAAGGCGGCUUCCUGGCCUGUUCUUGACGCUGAGGCGCGAAAGCUAGGGGAGCAAACGGG
Molecule: ribosomal RNA, 253 nt
Filed under: uncultured bacterium
Lineage: Bacteria
Description: partial 16S ribosomal RNA
Rfam family: Bacterial small subunit ribosomal RNA
Source: RNAcentral